RNAcentral lists this long non-coding RNA (1245 nucleotides) under Phasianus colchicus (ring-necked pheasant). Its description in RNAcentral is "lncRNA (ENSPCLG00000014177.1)". Lineage: Eukaryota; Metazoa; Chordata; Aves; Galliformes; Phasianidae. The record is from RNAcentral.
AUGUGGGACACGUGGAUGGACAGCUUGGGGACAGGGACACGGGGGACACAUGGAAAACUUGGGGACAGGAGCACGUGGGGCACACAGACAGCUUGGGGACAAAGCUGUGUGGGACACACGGAUGUCUUGGGGACAGGGACACGGGACACAUGGACACCUUGGGGACAGGAUGACAUGGGACACGUAGGGCACAUGGAUGGACAGCUUGGGGACAGGGACACUCAAACCACGUGGGGACAAAACCACAUGGGAGCCACAGGUGGACAGCUUGGGGACAGGGACACAGGGGACACAUGGAAAACUUGGGGACAGGAGCACGUGGGGCACAUGGGCACCUUGGGGACAAAGCUGUGUGGGACACACAGAUGUCUUGGGGACAGGGACACAAGGGACACAUGGAUGGACAUCCUGGGGACAGGGACACGCAGACACCUUGGGGACAGGGUGACAUGGGACACGUGGGCAUCAUGGGGACAGGGAUGCGUGGGACACAUGGAUGGACAGCUUGGGGACAGGGACACGGGGGACACACAGACAUCUUGGGGACAAAACUAUGUGGGAUCCAUAGGUGGACGUCUUGGGGACAGGGACACGGGGGACACGUGGACACCUUGGGGACAGGAUGACAUGGGACACGUAGGGCAUCAUGGGGACACCUUGGGGACAGUGGCACAUGGGACACAUGGGUGGACAUCUUGGGGACAGGGACACUCAAACCACGUGGGGACAAAACCACAUGGGAGCCAUAGGUGGACAGCUUGGGGACAGGAACACAGGGGACACAUGGAAAACUUGGGGACAGGAGCAUGUGGGGCACGUGGGCACCUUGGGGACAAAGCUGUGUGGGACACACGGAUGUCUUGGGACACAAGGGACACAUGGAUGGACACCUUGGGGACAGGGACACACAGACACCUUGGGGACAGGGUGACAUGGGACACGUGGGCAUCAUGGGGACAGGGACAUGUGGGACACGUGGAUGGACAUCGUGGGGACAGGGACACAUGGGACACACAGACAUUGUGGGGACAGGGACACACAGACAUCUUGGGGACAAAACCAUGUGGGACCCAUAGGCGGACGUCUUGGGGACAGGGACACGGGGGACACGUGGACACAUUGGGGACAAAGCUGUGUGGGAAACAUGGAUGCCUUGGGGACAGGGACACAUGGGACACACGGAUGGACGUCCUGGGGACAGGGACACUCCAACAUCUUGGGGACAAAACCACGUGGGAGCCAUAG